CAUGCACUGGUGGGGUCCCUCUGCCUGGCCUGUGCCCUCUCACAAUCCAGGGCCCCUCCGGGAAUGUCGAAGAGCUGGUUUCAUCUGAAUCACCACAGGCCAGGCUGAGGGACCCCACCGGUGCAUG
This 127-nucleotide microRNA precursor is filed under the name Myotis brandtii (Brandt's bat). Its description in RNAcentral is "mir-9193 microRNA precursor family". It matches the Rfam family "mir-9193 microRNA precursor family". The record is from Rfam by way of RNAcentral. Lineage: Eukaryota; Metazoa; Chordata; Mammalia; Chiroptera; Vespertilionidae.